This 440-nucleotide ribosomal RNA is filed under the name uncultured bacterium. RNAcentral describes it as "partial 16S ribosomal RNA". It matches the Rfam family "Bacterial small subunit ribosomal RNA", at positions 338 to 795 of the family's 1533-position model. The record is from RNAcentral.
CCUACGGGGGGCAGCAGUGGGGAAUAUUGCACAAUGGGGGAAACCCUGAUGCAGCGACGCCGCGUGAGUGAAGAAGUAUCUCGGUACGUAAAGCUCUAUCAGCAGGGACGAAAAUGAUGGUACCUGACUAAGAAGCCCCGGCUAACUACGUGCCAGCAGCCGCGGUAAUACGUCGGGGGCAAGCGUUAUCCGGCUUUACUGGGUGUAAAGGGAGCGUAGACGGCAACACAAGUCUGGAGUGAAAUCCCUGGGCUUAACCCCGGAACUGCUUUGGAAACUGUGCGGCUUGAGUGCAGGAGGGGUAAGCGGAAGUCCGAGUGUAGCGGUGAAAUGCGUAGAGAUUAGGAGGAACACCGGUGGCGAAGGCGGAUUACUGGACAGUAACUGACGUUGAGGCGCGAAAGCGUGGGGAGCAAACAGGAUUAGAUACCCCUGUAGUC